GACGAACGCUGGCGGCGUGCUUAACACAUGCAAGUCGAACGGAAAGGCCCUGCUUUUGUGGGGUGCUCGAGUGGCGAACGGGUGAGUAACACGUGAGUAACCUGCCCUUUACUUUGGGAUAACUUCAGGAAACUGGGGCUAUUACCGGAUAUGAGCUCCUUCUGCAUGGUGUUGGUUGGAAAGUUUCGGCGUUUGGUGAUGGACUCGCGGCUUAUCAGCUUGUUGGUGGGGUAGUGGAUUACCAAGGCUUUGACGGGUAGCCGGCCUGAGAGUGUGACCGGCCACAAUGGGACUGAGAUACGAGCCAGACUGCUACGGGAGGAAGAAGUGGGAAAUAGUGCACAAUGGGCGGAAGCAGGAAGCAGCAACGCCGCGUGGGGGAUGACGGUCGGCGGGUUGUAACCCGCUUUAGCCUGUGACGAAGAGUGAGUGACGGUAAUGGGUAAAGAAGCAACGGCUAACUACGUG
RNAcentral lists this ribosomal RNA (468 nucleotides) under uncultured bacterium. RNAcentral describes it as "partial 16S ribosomal RNA". It matches the Rfam family "Bacterial small subunit ribosomal RNA", at positions 28 to 507 of the family's 1533-position model. The record is from RNAcentral.